UAGGGAAUCUUCCGCAAUGGGCGAAAGCCUGACGGAGCAACGCCGCGUGAGUGAUGAAGGUUUUCGGAUCGUAAAACUCUGUUAUUAGGGAAGAACAAAUGUGUAAGUAACUAUGCACGUCUUGACGGUACCUAAUCAGAAAGCCACGGCUAACUACGUGCCAGCAGCCGCGGUAAUACGUAGGUGGCAAGCGUUAUCCGGAAUUAUUGGGCGUAAAGCGCGCGUAGGCGGUUUUUUAAGUCUGAUGUGAAAGCCCACGGCGCAACCGUAGGGGGUCAUUGGAAACUGGAAAACUUGAGAGCAGAAGAGGAAAGUGGAAUUCCAUGUGUAGCGGUGAAAUGCGCAGAGAUAUGGAGGAACACCAGUGGCGAAGGCGCCUUUCUGGUCUGUAACUGACGCUGGUGUGCGAAAGCGUGAGGAUCAAACAGG
Molecule: ribosomal RNA, 429 nt
Filed under: Actinomycetes bacterium
Lineage: Bacteria; Bacillati; Actinomycetota; Actinomycetes
Description: Actinobacteria bacterium partial 16S ribosomal RNA
Rfam family: Bacterial small subunit ribosomal RNA
Source: RNAcentral